CCAAUAGCGUAUAUUAAAGUUGCUGCAGUUAAAAAGCUCGUAGUUGAAUUUCGGGACCAUCAUGUCGGUCGUGCCUCGGUACGUACUGGUAUUGUUGGUUUCUCCCUUCUGACGAACCAUGAUGUCAUUUAUUUGGUGUUGUGGGGAAUCAGGACUGUUACUUUGAAAAAAUUAGAGUGUUUAAAGCAGGCUCACGCUUGAAUACAUUAGCAUGGAAUAAUGAAAUAGGACGUUUGAUUCUAUUUUGUUGGUUUCUAGGAUCGACGUAAUGAUUAAUAGGGAUAGUGGGGGGCAUUAGUAUUCAAUUGUCAGAGGUGAAAUUCUUGGAUUUAUUGAAGACUAACUACUGCGAAAGCAUUUGCCAAGGAUGUUUUCAUUAAUCAAGAACGAAAGUUAGGGGAUCGAAGACGAUCAGAUACCGUCGUAGUCUUAACCAUAAACUAUGCCGACUAGGGAUCGGAUGAUGUUAAUUUUUUAAUGACUCAUUCGGCGCCUUACG
RNAcentral lists this ribosomal RNA (499 nucleotides) under uncultured Glomeromycotina. RNAcentral's name for it is "partial small subunit ribosomal RNA". It matches the Rfam family "Eukaryotic small subunit ribosomal RNA", at positions 591 to 1092 of the family's 1831-position model. Lineage: Eukaryota; Fungi; Glomeromycota. The record is from RNAcentral.